CUCACCAGGUCAGGACACGGUAAGGAUUGACGGACUGAAGGCUCUUUCUCGAUUCCGUGGAAAGUGGUGCAUGGCCGUUUUUGGUUGGUGGAUCGAUCCGUCUGGUUAAUUCCGUUAACGAACGAGACCUCGGCACUCCGAAUAGCGCGGCGGACGUCGCGGCCUCCGGGCCGUCUUCCGCACGAGCUUCUUAGAGGGACCGUCCCCCGCCGGGGAAGGAGGUGCGAGGCAACGACAGGUCUGUGAUGCCCUUAGAUGUUCUGGGCCGCACGCGCAUUACACUGACGCGUCCAACGGGUGACUCCCGACCCGAAGGGGCCGGGGAAUCCGCAAGGCGCGUCGUGAUGGGGAUUGAACGUUGCAAUUGUUGUUCACGAACGAGGAAUUCCUAGUAGGCGCGGGUCAUCAACCCGCGCCGAUUACGUCCCUGCCCUUUGUACACACCGCC
RNAcentral lists this ribosomal RNA (448 nucleotides) under uncultured eukaryote. Its description in RNAcentral is "bacterial SSU rRNA". It matches the Rfam family "Eukaryotic small subunit ribosomal RNA", at positions 1214 to 1673 of the family's 1831-position model. The record is from RNAcentral.